This 1023-nucleotide long non-coding RNA is filed under the name Oncorhynchus mykiss (rainbow trout). RNAcentral's name for it is "lncRNA (ENSOMYG00000070421.1)". The record is from RNAcentral. Lineage: Eukaryota; Metazoa; Chordata; Actinopteri; Salmoniformes; Salmonidae.
AUGGACACCAGUCAAGAGAGAGAAGGGAGAGAGACGGAUACCAGUGAAGAGAGAGAAGGGAGAGAGACGGACACCAGUCAAGAGAGAGAAGGGAGAGAGACGGACACCAGUCGGGAGAGAGAUGGACACCAGUCAAGAGAGAGAAGGGAGAGAGACGGACACCAGUCAAGAGAGAGAAGAGAGAGAGAUAAGGGAGAGAGACGGACACCAGUCAAGAGAGAGAAGGGAGAGAGACGGACACCAGUCAAGAGAGAGAAGGGAGAGAGACGGACACCAGUCAAGAGAGAGAAGGGAGAGAGACGGACACCAGUCGGGAGAGAGACGGACACCAGUCAAGAGAGAGAAGGGAGAGAGACUGACACCAGUCAAGAGAGAGAAGGGAGAGAGAGAAGGGAGAGAGACGGACACCAGUCAAGAGAGAGAAGGGAGAGAGACGGACACCAGUCAAGAGAGAGAAGGGAGAGAGACGGACACCAGUCAAGAGAGAGAAGGGAGAGAGACGGACACCAGUCAAGAGAGAGAAGGGAGAGAGACGGACACCAGUCGGGAGAGAGAAGGGAGAGAGACGGACACCAGUCAAGAGAGAGAAGGGAGAGAGACGGACACCAGUCGGGAGAGAGAUGGACUCCAGUCAAGAGAGAGAAGGGAGAGAGACGGACACCAGUCGGGAGAGAGAAGGGAGAGAGAGAAGGGAGAGAGACGGACACCAGUCGGGAGAGAGAAGUGAGAGAGACGGACACUAGUCAAGAGAGAGAAGGGAGAGAGACGGACACCAGUCAAGAGAGAGAAGGGAGAGAGACGGACACCAGUCAAGAGAGAGAAGGGAGAGAGACGGACACCAGUCGGGAGAGAGAUGGACUCCAGUCAAGAGAGAGAAGGGAGAGAGACGGACACCAGUCGGGAGAGAGAAGGGAGAGAGAGAAGGGAGAGAGACGGACACCAGUCGGGAGAGAGAAGGGAGAGAGACGGACACCAGUCGGGAGAGAGAAGGGAGACAGAGCAAAACCUAAGUUAUUUCUUUGA